CAAAUCCUUCCUUCCAAGGAUGGAUGCUCUUCAUUACAUGAGUCUCUCGUAUCUUAGAGAUAUCUUUUGUUGAGUAGAGGCAUUCUGAGGUGUUCCAAUCCUCAUUUUAAAGGCGGAAGACAGAACGUGGAGACUAGGUGACUUACGCAUUGUCACACAUGACAAAGAAAGCAAGCAACUAUGAUAAAGGGUCAAGCAAAUAUGGAGUAUCGAAAGUAGACAAUGAAACAAUUCUCCAUCAGUCAAGAAAGUUGUGAAGCUAAAUUUGGAGCACACUGAAUAAAGGUGUGGUGUGCAGGGGUCACAUAAAAGGUGAGCAAGACGCUAAAGGCUCCACCUCCCCACUGUGAGGUAACAUCUGCAGUCAAACCAGAUAGCUUGGAUCUCUCCAUGAGCUGCUGAAGAGUCGAAAAACAAAUAAACGUCAACAGCGCUGAAUCCCAACAUUGUUUAAUGACAACCUUGCCAUGUUUGCCAACUUGCUGCUUAACAACAAUCCUGUUGACACUGUGUAAAAACCUUCCAGGUCCUCCCAGGUAAAUAACCCACUCCUACCGAUCACCUGGCCACCCAAGUGAAC
RNAcentral lists this long non-coding RNA (580 nucleotides) under Equus caballus (horse). RNAcentral's name for it is "lncRNA (ENSECAG00000056187.1)". Lineage: Eukaryota; Metazoa; Chordata; Mammalia; Perissodactyla; Equidae. The record is from RNAcentral.